Molecule: non-coding RNA, 85 nt
Organism: Felis catus (domestic cat)
Lineage: Eukaryota; Metazoa; Chordata; Mammalia; Carnivora; Felidae
Source: Rfam
GCCUGGGUGGCUAAGUCUGUUAAGUGUCUGACUUUGGCUCAGGUCAUGAUCUCUCGGUUCGUGAGUUCGAGCCCCACGUCGGGCU